UCGAUCAGUGUCUUGAGAUUUACUCACUU
Molecule: small RNA, 29 nt
Filed under: Bombyx mori (domestic silkworm)
Lineage: Eukaryota; Metazoa; Arthropoda; Insecta; Lepidoptera; Bombycidae
Description: piRNA piR-bmo-1986827
Source: RNAcentral